AUGUGAUCGUCUCUCGCAUAUCAAUAAGCGGAGGAAAAAAGAAACUAACAAGGAUUCCCCUAGUAACGGCGAGUGAAGCGGGAAGAGCUCAAAUUUGAAAUCUUAAAGGGUUUCCCUUUACGAGUUGUAGUUUAAAGAAGUGUUUUCUGUUGAGGUUUUGGUAAAAGUUCUUUGGAAUAGGACAUCAUAGAGGGUGAGAAUCCCGUAUUUGACCUUUACUUUCAACUUUGUGAUACACUUUCAAAGAGUCGGAUUGUUUGGGAAUGCAGUCCAAAAUGGGUGGUAAAUUUCAUCUAAAGCUAAAUAUUGGCGAGAGACCGAUAGCGAACAAGUACCGUGAGGGAAAGAUGAAAAGAACUUUGAAAAGAGAGUUAAACAGUACGUGAAAUUGUCAAAAGGGAAGCGUUUGACACCAGUGUUGUUUUUCUGAAAAUCAAUUAAAGAACUGUUUAUGCUAAGCUGUUUAGACUUUAUCAGCUAACUGUUUAGUUUUGAGCUUUUCUUUAAUGCACUUUUCAGUUAACAAGUCAACAUCAAUUUCUUUUGCUGUAAAAAAGCUUGAGGAAGGUGGCUUGAGAUUCGUCUUAAGUGUUUAUAGCCUCUUGCCUAUGCAGUCGGAGAGAUUGAGGUCUGCAGCGUAGAUCCUUCGGGGCUAAAUGCAUUUGUGCUAAGUUAUAGCAUUUUAUAGACAACUUGUUGACUAUGAUUUGUCUUGUAGCUUACUCGCUUAUGUUAUUUUACCUACGCUUAGGAUGUUGAGUAGCGACAUACGCAC
Molecule: ribosomal RNA, 775 nt
Filed under: uncultured Neocallimastigales
Lineage: Eukaryota; Fungi; Neocallimastigomycota; Neocallimastigomycetes; Neocallimastigales
Description: partial large subunit ribosomal RNA
Rfam family: Eukaryotic large subunit ribosomal RNA
Source: RNAcentral